UACUGGGAUCUUCACUCCAUAUUUACUCCCCACUUAAACUACAGAAGACGUUGACACACGUAUCGCGUGGGCACCUGCUCCUCCAAGGCUUUUCAUCACUGUUCCAUCACAUCAAAAGCAGAAGUGAGGGGCUGAGGGCCACGCCCACAGAGAAGGGUCAUAUAGAGACAGAGCUCACAGACCCCGGAGGAGCGGCCAGCAGAUGAUUAGUUGAGGUGACCUGCAAGAACCUGCAGAUGCAUCAUGGAGCAAAAAAUCUAUGAGACAGUUUCCAACGUGCAACAGGAGAUGCAUAAAAUCCAGCAGCAAGGCAGCUUCCCAGCCGAGGUGUUUAAAAGUGGGAUGGCUCCCAGUAACCGGGAAAUGAUAGUCCAGUGUGACCUUGAAGAACAAGCUGGAAGACAGACCCCCCAGAAAGCAGGUCAGGGGACAGCACGUUGCUAUCUGUAUAUCUUGGGCACCAUCUGUGUGGUGCUGCUGAUCGCUGGGGUGUGUGUAGGGAUAUCCAUGUGUGAGUCACAACAUGCUUAUUAUUUAUAGACUUAGAUUUAGAAUGAAUUCUAAACAGCAGGGUUGAUGCAGCAUACAGACAGUUUCUUAAACUGUGGGUUUAAUACAUGUGGGAUUUCCGGUGAAACAGGCAUAAAUCUGCCCAGUUCAAUCUAACCCCAGAGACUUUUAUGCUUUAGUUCAAGUAGCAAAUUCAAGCAAAAAGAUUUUUUUGUCGGUGUUCCUGUUAUUCAUUUCAGAAUUCCCAAACCUUAUUACUUGUGUGCAAGGUAAAAAGUACUAACUAAAAUGUUUAAAAUACUAUUAAAUGCUUGAGGAUUCUGAACCAAACCUUAAAAUCAUAAUGUCAAAAUCAUGAGUUAUGUAUCUGGUGGUCUUGAAGGGCUGACCUGGGAGACCCCAUGCUGG
Molecule: long non-coding RNA, 918 nt
Organism: Anguilla anguilla (European eel)
Lineage: Eukaryota; Metazoa; Chordata; Actinopteri; Anguilliformes; Anguillidae
Exons: 3
Source: RefSeq, a predicted model, not a curated record